UUAAACAUGUAAUUCACACAUGGAAGGAUACAUGCUUUUGUUCUUCCAGUAUUAUUUCACCUAUGACUAGGCAUUGUUGUGCUGCACAAAAACAGUUAAUGGCUUCUUCCAGUAUUAUUUCUCCUACGACAAUAAUAUUUUUACUUUGAGAUAUGUUAACAUUUACUCUCAAUUGAGGGCUACACUUAUCCUCUAUUGUACUUCGUUCAGGCUUCAAAUUAUUGAACCUAAAAGUGUGUUUACUACAAUCUAAAUAUUACAUUAACUCAAGUAUAAUUUAGGUUCCCUCUUAAAACUUGCAAAUUUAAAAUCCCAGGGAAUAAAGAAAAAAUUUAUCCUACUGAAGUAAUGGAUGCAAAUAUCGAACUCGUGCUUGUCUUUUUAUUUGAAAACUAGAGCUAUCACUUGUUUUGCAAUCCCGACAGUCCUAGGAUUUGGCAUCCUAUGUCUGAACCCAUACAUGAUCCAAAAGCAUAAGACAAGGUCUAGGAAUGACAUAGCUUUUCACUUAUUCUUAAAUAGGAAAACAUCUUCCCCCUAUUGUUCAUUUGAGAUGCCCAACAAUUUCUCUGUUCUAAGCUAUAUUCCCGUUAAGUUGCAUUAUAUCCUUCUUUACAGUUUAUGCCAUAUGUCCAAAACUCCAAAUUAAUAAUUUCCAUUAUUUUCUUGGUUAUUGCAAUUUUCUUGUGUUAUCUACGUAUCUCCUCUUAUGCUGUUACAUCCAUUUUACUUUUCCUUCUCUUAGCAUAUCUAAAAUAUAGAUCGACUACAUGUUUGAACUAGAUUUACAGAUAAAAAAUCUCAAAGUGUACAACAUGCAAGCAUAACCCAAUUCAGGGUUAUCCUAUUUCAUUCCUCUUAGUUUAGUUGACUACAAAAGCCCUCAGUGUCUGUUGCCAAGUUGAGCUGAAACAUGCUUUCAGCUCAAUGGGUUAUUUCAACUUGAUUUCUUCUUUGGUGUGUUUGUUGUUAGCCACAUCAUAUGAUCUCUACUUUCUCAAAUCUGUAAAUGCUUCUUGUAGUGGAAUUUGAAUCAUUCCCCCCUCCCCCGAUGUGAAGCCCCGUAGCAAUAGUAGCUACAAACCCCAUACGAGAUCGAUUCAAAUCCAAGAAAGCCAAGAAUCAACAUUUGGAGUUUGAUCCAAAAAUAUUGAACCAAGGCACCAAUACAAUCAUUGAC
RNAcentral lists this long non-coding RNA (1180 nucleotides) under Olea europaea (common olive). RNAcentral describes it as "long non-coding RNA (OEUR_LNC013120)". The record is from RNAcentral. Lineage: Eukaryota; Viridiplantae; Streptophyta; Magnoliopsida; Lamiales; Oleaceae.